Molecule: long non-coding RNA, 228 nt
Filed under: Pan troglodytes (chimpanzee)
Lineage: Eukaryota; Metazoa; Chordata; Mammalia; Primates; Hominidae
Description: long non-coding RNA NONPTRT001747
Source: RNAcentral
ACGCAGCCCGAGCCUCCCCAACAGGGUGCUGCCCCCUGCUCCAUGGUGCCCGGUCCCAUCAACUGCCCAAGGGCUGAGGAGAGUGGAUGCGUGGUGCGGGACUGGCAGGCAGCUCUGCCUGCAGCCCCGGCAUGGGAUCCACUAGCCAAAGCCAGCUGGGCUCCUGAGUCGGGUGGGGACUUGGAGAACUUUUAUGUCUAGCUGGAGGAUUGUACAUGCGCCAAUCAG